ACCAGCGCACGGGUGAGUAACACGUAUGCAACCUGCCUGUAAGCGGGGAAUAACCCGGAGAAAUCCGGACUAAUACCGCAUAACAUCAAUUUGCUGCAUGGCAGAUUGCUUAAACAUUUAUGGCUUACAGAUGGGCAUGCGUAUGAUUAGAUAGUUGGUGAGGUAACGGCUCACCAAGUCAACGAUCAUUAGGGGUUCUGAGAGGAAGGUCCCCCACACUGGUACUGAGACACGGACCAGACUCCUACGGGAGGCAGCAGUGAGGAAUAUUGGUCAAUGGGCGAGAGCCUGAACCAGCCAAGUCGCGUGAAGGAAGAAGGUUCUAUGGAUUGUAAACUUCUUUUGCAUGGGAAUAAAGUGAGCUACGUGUAGUUUAUUGUAUGUACCAUGCGAAUAAGGAUCGGCUAACUCCGUGCCAGCAGCCGCGGUAAUACGGAGGAUCCGAGCGUUAUCCGGAUUUAUUGGGUUUAAAGGGUGCGUAGGUGGGAAAUUAAGUCAGUGGUGAAAGUUUGCAGCUCAACUGUAAAAUUGCCAUUGAAACUGAUUUUCUUGAGUGUAAAUAAGGUAGGCGGAAUGUGUUGUGUAGCGGUGAAAUGCAUAGAUAUAACACAGAACCCCGAUUGCGAAGGCAGCUUACCGGGCUACAACUGACGCUGAGGCACGAAAGCGUGGGGAUCAAACAGGAUUAGAUACCCUGGUAGUCCACGC
RNAcentral lists this ribosomal RNA (708 nucleotides) under uncultured bacterium. RNAcentral's name for it is "bacterial SSU rRNA". It matches the Rfam family "Bacterial small subunit ribosomal RNA", at positions 94 to 800 of the family's 1533-position model. The record is from RNAcentral.